UUGCUGGGGUGAUUAGUGGCGAACGGGUGAGUAACACGUGAGUAACCUGCCCUUAACUCUGGGAUAAGCCUGGGAAACUGGGUCUAAUACCGGAUAUGACUCCUCAUCGCAUGGUGGGGGGUGGAAAGCUUUUUGUGGUUUUGGAUGGACUCGCGGCCUAUCAGCUUGUUGGUGAGGUAAUGGCUCACCAAGGCGACGACGGGUAGCCGGCCUGAGAGGGUGACCGGCCACACUGGGACUGAGACACGGCCCAGACUCCUACGGGAGGCAGCAGUGGGGAAUAUUGCACAAUGGGCGCAAGCCUGAUGCAGCGACGCCGCGUGAGGGAUGACGGCCUUCGGGUUGUAAACCUCUUUCAGUAGGGAAGAAGCGAAAGUGACGGUACCUGCAGAAGAAGCGCCGGCUAACUACGUGCCAGCAGCCGCGGUAAUACGUAGGGCGCAAGCGUUAUCCGGAAUUAUUGGGCGUAAAGAGCUCGUAGGCGGUUUGUCGCGUCUGCCGUGAAAGUCCGGGGCUCAACUCCGGAUCUGCGGUGGGUACGGGCAGACUAGAGUGAUGUAGGGGAGACUGGAAUUCCUGGUGUAGCGGUGAAAUGCGCAGAUAUCAGGAGGAACACCGAUGGCGAAGGCAGGUCUCUGGGCAUUAACUGACGCUGAGGAGCGAAAGCAUGGGGAGCGAACAGGAUUAGAUACCCUGGUAGUCCAUGCCGUAAACGUUGGGCACUAGGUGUGGGGGACAUUCCACGUUUUCCGCGCCGUAGCUAACGCAUUAAGUGCCCCGCCUGGGGAGUACGGCCGCAA
This 800-nucleotide ribosomal RNA is filed under the name Arthrobacter sp. RNAcentral's name for it is "bacterial SSU rRNA". It matches the Rfam family "Bacterial small subunit ribosomal RNA", at positions 80 to 891 of the family's 1533-position model. Lineage: Bacteria; Bacillati; Actinomycetota; Actinomycetes; Micrococcales; Micrococcaceae. The record is from RNAcentral.